GCAAACUUGGUCAUUUAGAGGAAGUAAAAGUCGUAACAAGGUUUCCGUAGGUGAACCUGCGGAAGGAUCAUUGCCUGAGGGCGCGUGGCCGAGCGUGCGCAAGCGCGCGGAGCCCGCGCAUUACACUCAUGACCCAUGUGAACCAACAAAGUGACGUGACGGUGGCGUGUCGUCGUCGUCGUCGUCCGCGCGCGGCCCGUCCGCGCGCGCGGCGCGCUUCUUCACCCUCCAUCCCUCUCUUUUUUACUAUUUCUUUCAACUAUUAACCACGUUGACCUUGCUUCUCUGACUGAGAUUCAAGCGACCUUAACACGUCGCGACCAAACCAAACAUAUCACAACUUUUAACAACGGAUAUCUUGGCUCGCGCAUCGAUGAAGAACGCAGC
This 387-nucleotide unclassified non-coding RNA is filed under the name uncultured fungus. RNAcentral's name for it is "partial contains small subunit ribosomal RNA, internal transcribed spacer 1, and 5.8S ribosomal RNA". The stretch from base 1 to 73 matches the Rfam family "Eukaryotic small subunit ribosomal RNA", at positions 1759 to 1831 of the family's 1831-position model. Lineage: Eukaryota; Fungi. The record is from RNAcentral.